CGUGUCGUGAGAUGUUGGGUUAAGUCCCGCAACGAGCGCAACCCUCACCCCUAGUUGCCACCGGGUAAAGCCGAGCACUCGAGGGGAACUGCCAGCGUCAAGCUGGAGGAAGGCGGGGAUGACGUCAAGUCAUCAUGCCCCUUACGUCCUGGGCUACACACGUGCUACAAUGGCCAGUACAAAGGGAUGCGAGACCGCGAGGUGGAGCUAAUCCCAAAAAGCUGGUCUAAGUUCAGAUUGCAGUCUGCAACUCGACUCCAUGAAGGAGGAAUCGCUAGUAAUCGC
RNAcentral lists this ribosomal RNA (285 nucleotides) under uncultured Methylomirabilota bacterium. RNAcentral describes it as "uncultured candidate division NC10 bacterium partial 16S ribosomal RNA". It matches the Rfam family "Bacterial small subunit ribosomal RNA", at positions 1061 to 1345 of the family's 1533-position model. The record is from RNAcentral. Lineage: Bacteria; Methylomirabilota (SeqCode).